RNAcentral lists this ribosomal RNA (752 nucleotides) under Phormidium sp. CB11. RNAcentral describes it as "bacterial SSU rRNA". It matches the Rfam family "Bacterial small subunit ribosomal RNA", at positions 99 to 883 of the family's 1533-position model. The record is from RNAcentral. Lineage: Bacteria; Bacillati; Cyanobacteriota; Cyanophyceae; Oscillatoriales; Oscillatoriaceae.
CGGACGGGUGAGUAACGCGUGAGAAUCUACCUUCAGGUCGGGGAUAACCCCUGGAAACGGGGGCUAAUACCGGAUAGGUCGAAAGAUGAAAGGUUAACUGCCUGAAGAGGGGCUCGCGUCUGAUUAGCUAGUAGGUGUGGUAAGAGCGCACCUAGGCGACGAUCAGUAGCUGGUCUGAGAGGAUGAGCAGCCACACUGGGACUGAGACACGGCCCAGACUCCUACGGGAGGCAGCAGUGGGGAAUUUUCCGCAAUGGGCGAAAGCCUGACGGAGCAAGACCGCGUGGGGGAGGAAGGCCUUUGGGUUGUAAACCCCUUUUGUUAGGGAAGAAAAAAAUGACGGUACCUAACGAAUCAGCCUCGGCUAACUCCGUGCCAGCAGCCGCGGUAAUACGGAGGAGGCAAGCGUUAUCCGGAAUUAUUGGGCGUAAAGCGUCCGUAGGUGGCCCGGCAAGUCUGCUGUCAAAGACCACAGCUCAACUGUGGAAAGGCAGUGGAAACUGCAAGGCUAGAGUGCGGUAGGGGUAGAGGGAAUUCCCAGUGUAGCGGUGAAAUGCGUAGAGAUUGGGAAGAACACCGGUGGCGAAAGCGCUCUACUGGGCCGCAACUGACACUGAUGGACGAAAGCUAGGGGAGCGAAUGGGAUUAGAUACCCCAGUAGUCCUAGCUGUAAACGAUGGAAACUAGGUGUAGCACGUAUCGACCCGUGCUGUAUCGGAGCUAACGCGUUAAGUUUCCCGCCUGGGGAGUAC